AUCGAACCCUACUUGAUAUAACCUUAGCUUAUCUAACCCUAGUUGAUCGAACCCUACUCCAUCUAACCCUAUUUUAUUUUCACCCAUUUUAACCAUUUGUGGCAGAAAAAAACGUACGCAUGAAAUCAGAUGUAAAUAGUGACUACCCAAAAGUUUUUAACAAAAACAAGAAUGACAUACUGGGUACAGUGGAUAUAUUAGCUACACCCCGGAAUGGUGUACUUGUCAAUGAGAACGAGUUAUUUGUAUCAUGUUUUGUUAACAACGUUUUAUAUGCAAAAAGUGAUUUUGUUUAUAAGCGUACAGAUUUCAAAUUACCAACACUCAACAUAUUAGAUGCAGAAAAAAAAAACAUAUUACAACUUCUAGAUUUAGAUGAACGGAUUUUUAAAACCCCAGAAAACAUUUUUUUUCCAUCAAAAGAUUUCAGUUUAUUUCUGAAAAUGUUUAAAAAAAAUAAUUCAGAUUUAGUAUAUGGUUUGGAUGUGGAAAACGUGUCGAAGAUGCUAAUAAAUAAAUAUACGACUUAUAUGAACGAAAAUGUUUUAAACAAAAAAGUAGAAUUUACAAGUGACAUAAAAAAUACAUUGGACAAUGGAUAUAACCACUUCAUGGAGCAACGUGAUAACUGGUACAACUGCAGAGAACUAAUUGAAGAUAUAGAAACGAAUAGAAAACAAUCUAAAAAGAUAGAAGAGUUUGUUUUAGGAGUUUGUGCAUGUACUAAAACGAUCAUUUAUAAUGAGAAAUAUUCGAAUAACUCAAUAAAAGAAUAUAAAGAGAAAAGUUUUAAAAAAGAUAAUAAGCAAAACGUGUAUCAUGAGGAAUUUAACAUCGAUUGUGAUAUGGAAAAAGAUUUUUACGAUACAUGUAUAAAUUAUAUUGAAUAUGAAGAUAUAUGUUUAUAUAACACUAUACGAACAAUAGGAUACUCAAUGUAUUGUUAUAAAAACAAUAUAUUUUUUUAUAAUUUAAAAAAAAAAAGCUAAAAAAUAUUAUUUGAUUGGUUUUCAUGACUUUUUAAGUAGUAAUAAAUUUAUUAUGUGUAUAUUAAAAAAAAAAAAA
Molecule: long non-coding RNA, 1065 nt
Filed under: Piliocolobus tephrosceles (Ugandan red Colobus)
Lineage: Eukaryota; Metazoa; Chordata; Mammalia; Primates; Cercopithecidae
Description: lncRNA (ENSPTEG00000002459.1)
Source: RNAcentral